Pelobates cultripes (western spadefoot toad) is the source of this 87-nucleotide non-coding RNA. NCBI's taxonomy places the organism in Eukaryota, Metazoa, Chordata, Amphibia, Anura, Pelobatidae. The record is from the annotation of a GenBank genome assembly.
GUGUGUGUGUGUGUGUGUGUAUUUAGCAGACUGUGUACUCAGCAGUCUGUGUGUAUUCAGCAGUCUGCUAAAUACACAUACAGACAG